RNAcentral lists this ribosomal RNA (1584 nucleotides) under metagenome. RNAcentral describes it as "bacterial LSU rRNA". It matches the Rfam family "Bacterial large subunit ribosomal RNA", at positions 1350 to 2925 of the family's 2925-position model. The record is from RNAcentral.
GUUUCCUGCACCACGUUCAUCGGUGCAGGGUGAGUCGGUCCCUAAGGCAAGGCCGAAAGGCGUAGUCGAUGGAAAAUCGGUCAAUAUUCCGAUACCUCGUUUUGAUGCGAUGGGGAGACGGAGAAGGUUAUGCAAGCCGUCUGUUGGAUGGCGGUUUAAGCGUGUAGGUGGAUCUCUUAGGCAAAUCCGGGAGGUCAACACCAAGGCGUGAUGACGAGUGCCCUUGUGGUGCGAAGUUGCAGAUACCACGCUUCCAGGAAAAUCCUCUAAGCUUCAGUCAAGAUGAGACCGUACCGUAAACGGACACACGUGGGCAGGAUGAAAAUUCUAAGGCGCUUGAGAGAACUCGGGUGAAGGAACUCGGCAAAUUUGCACCGUAACUUCGGAAGAAGGUGCGCCCUAAGUAUGUGAAGCCCCUCGCGGGUGGAGCAGAACAGGGUUGCAGUGAAAAGGUGGCUGCGACUGUUUAACAAAAACACAGCACUCUGCAAACACGUCAAGUGGACGUAUAGGGUGUGACGCCUGCCCGGUGCCGGAAGGUUAAGUGAUGGGGUGCAAGCUCUUGAUCGAAGCCCCGGUAAACGGCGGCCGUAACAAUAACGGUCCUAAGGUAGCGAAAUUCCUUGUCGGGUAAGUUCCGACCUGCACGAAUGGCGUAACGAUGGCCACACUGUCUCCACCCGAGACUCAGCGAAGUUGAAGUGUUUGUGAUGAUGCAAUCUACCCGCGGCUAGACGGAAAGACCCCGUGCACCUUUACUGUAGCUUUACAUUGGACUUUGAUGAGAUCUGUGUAGGAUAGGUGGGAGACUUUGAAGCGGGCGCGCUAGCGCUCGUGGAGUCAACGUUGAAAUACCACCCUGAUGUUAUUGAGGUUCUAACCUUGCCCCGUUAUCCGGGGCGGGGACCGUGUAUGGCAGGCAGUUUGACUGGGGCGGUCUCCUCCCAAAGAGUAACGGAGGAGCUCGAAGGUACGCUUAGCGCGGUCGGCUAUCGCGCUGUAUGUGCAAUGGCAUAAGCGUGCUUAACUGCGAGACUGACAAGUCGAGCAUGUGCGAAAGCAGGACAUAGUGAUCCGGUGGUUCUGUAUGGAAGGGCCAUCGCUCAACGGAUAAAAGGUACGCCGGGGAUAACAGGCUGAUUCCUCCCAAGAGUUCAUAUCGACGGGGGAGUUUGGCACCUCGAUGUCGGCUCAUCACAUCCUGGGGCUGUAGCCGGUCCCAAGGGUAUGGCUGUUCGCCAUUUAAAGUGGUACGUGAGCUGGGUUCAAAACGUCGUGAGACAGUUUGGUCCCUAUCUGCCGUGGGCGUUGGAAGUUUGAAGGGGGCUGCUCCUAGUACGAGAGGACCGGAGUGGACGCACCUCUGGUGUACCGGUUAUGACGCCAGUCGUAUUGCCGGGUAGCUAUGUGCGGAAGAGAUAACCGCUGAAAGCAUCUAAGCGGGAAACUCGCCUUAAGAUGAGACUUCCCGGAGACUUGAUCUCCCUGUAGGGUCGUCCGAGACCAGGACGUUGAUAGGCUGGGUGUGUACGAUCAGUAAUGGUCUUAGCUAACCAGUACUAAUUGCCCGUGCGGCUUGAUCCC